AAUCCAUAGGUUAAUGAGGCGAACCGGGGGAACUGAAACAUCUAAGUACCCCGAGGAAAAGAAAUCAACCGAGAUUCCCCCAGUAGCGGCGAGCGAACGGGGAGGAGCCCAGAGCCUGAAUCAGCAUGUGUGUUAGUGGAAGCGUCUGGAAAGGCGCGCGAUACAGGGUGACAGCCCCGUACACAAAAGCGCAUGUGCUGUGAGCUCGAUGAGUAGGGCGGGACACGUGGUAUCCUGUCUGAAUAUGGGGGGACCAUCCUCCAAGGCUAAAUACUCCUGACUGACCGAUAGUGAACCAGUACCGUGAGGGAAAGGCGAAAAGAACCCCGGCGAGGGGAGUGAAAAAGAACCUGAAACCGUGUACGUACAAGCAGUGGGAGCACAGGUUUACCUGUGUGACUGCGUACCUUUUGUAUAAUGGGUCAGCGACUUAUAUUCUGUAGCAAGGUUAACCGAAUAGGGGAGCCGGAGGGAAACCGAGUCUUAAUUGGGCGUUAAGUUGCAGGGUAUAGACCCGAAACCCGGUGAUCUAGCCAUGGGCAGGUUGAAGGUUGGGUAACACUAACUGGAGGACCGAACCGACUAAUGUUGAAAAAUUAGCGGAUGACCUGUGGCUGGGGGUGAAAGGCCAAUCAAA
RNAcentral lists this ribosomal RNA (637 nucleotides) under Salmonella enterica. RNAcentral describes it as "partial 23S ribosomal RNA". It matches the Rfam family "Bacterial large subunit ribosomal RNA", at positions 161 to 837 of the family's 2925-position model. Lineage: Bacteria; Pseudomonadati; Pseudomonadota; Gammaproteobacteria; Enterobacterales; Enterobacteriaceae. The record is from RNAcentral.